UACGUAGGUGACAAGCGUUGUCCGGAUUUACUGGGCGUAAAGAGCGCGCAGGCGGUCGUUCAAGUCGAGUGUGAAAGCCCCCGGCUCAACUGGGGAGGGUCACUCGAUACUGAUCGACUCGAAGGCAGGAGAGGGAAGUGGAAUUCCCGGUGUAGCGGUGAAAUGCGCAGAUAUCGGGAGGAACACCAGUAGCGAAGGCGGCUCGCUGGGCCACACCUGACGCUGAGACGCGAAAGCUAGGGGAGCGAACAGG
RNAcentral lists this ribosomal RNA (253 nucleotides) under uncultured bacterium. RNAcentral's name for it is "partial 16S ribosomal RNA". It matches the Rfam family "Bacterial small subunit ribosomal RNA", at positions 524 to 776 of the family's 1533-position model. The record is from RNAcentral.